This 2790-nucleotide ribosomal RNA is filed under the name Escherichia coli. RNAcentral describes it as "partial 23S ribosomal RNA". It matches the Rfam family "Bacterial large subunit ribosomal RNA". The record is from RNAcentral. Lineage: Bacteria; Pseudomonadati; Pseudomonadota; Gammaproteobacteria; Enterobacterales; Enterobacteriaceae.
GGUUAAGCGACUAAGCGUACACGGUGGAUGCCCUGGCAGUCAGAGGCGAUGAAGGACGUGCUAAUCUGCGAUAAGCGUCGGUGAGGUGAUAUGAACCGUUAUAACCGGCGAUUUCCGAAUGGGGAAACCCAGUGUGUUUCGACACACUAUCAUUAACUGAAUCCAUAGGUUAAUGAGGCGAACCGGGGGAACUGAAACAUCUAAGUACCCCGAGGAAAAGAAAUCAACCGAGAUUCCCCCAGUAGCGGCGAGCGAACGGGGAGGAGCCCAGAGCCUGAAUCAGUGUGUGUGUUAGUGGAAGCGUCUGGAAAGGCGUGCGAUACAGGGUGACAGCCCCGUACACAAAAAUGCACAUAUUGUGAGCUCGAUGAGUAGGGCGGGACACGUGGUAUCCUGUCUGAAUAUGGGGGGACCAUCCUCCAAGGCUAAAUACUCCUGACUGACCGAUAGUGAACCAGUACCGUGAGGGAAAGGCGAAAAGAACCCCGGCGAGGGGAGUGAAAAAGAACCUGAAACCGUGUACGUACAAGCAGUGGGAGCCUCUUAAUGGGGUGACUGCGUACCUUUUGUAUAAUGGGUCAGCGACUUAUAUUCUGUAGCAAGGUUAACCGAAUAGGGGAGCCGAAGGGAAACCGAGUCUUAACUGGGCGUUAAGUUGCAGGGUAUAGACCCGAAACCCGGUGAUCUAGCCAUGGGCAGGUUGAAGGUUGGGUAACACUAACUGGAGGACCGAACCGACUAAUGUUGAAAAAUUAGCGGAUGACUUGUGGCUGGGGGUGAAAGGCCAAUCAAACCGGGAGAUAGCUGGUUCUCCCCGAAAGCUAUUUAGGUAGCGCCUCGUGAAUUCAUCUCCGGGGGUAGAGCACUGUUUCGGCAAGGGGGUCAUCCCGACUUACCAACCCGAUGCAAACUGCGAAUACCGGAGAAUGUUAUCACGGGAGACACACGGCGGGUGCUAACGUCCGUCGUGAAGAGGGAAACAACCCAGACCGCCAGCUAAGGUCCCAAAGUCAUGGUUAAGUGGGAAACGAUGUGGGAAGGCCCAGACAGCCAGGAUGUUGGCUUAGAAGCAGCCAUCAUUUAAAGAAAGCGUAAUAGCUCACUGGUCGAGUCGGCCUGCGCGGAAGAUGUAACGGGGCUAAACCAUGCACCGAAGCUGCGGCAGCGACACUAUGUGUUGUUGGGUAGGGGAGCGUUCUGUAAGCCUGUGAAGGUGGCCUGUGAGGGUUGCUGGAGGUAUCAGAAGUGCGAAUGCUGACAUAAGUAACGAUAAAGCGGGUGAAAAGCCCGCUCGCCGGAAGACCAAGGGUUCCUGUCCAACGUUAAUCGGGGCAGGGUGAGUCGACCCCUAAGGCGAGGCCGAAAGGCGUAGUCGAUGGGAAACAGGUUAAUAUUCCUGUACUUGGUGUUACUGCGAAGGGGGGACGGAGAAGGCUAUGUUGGCCGGGCGACGGUUGUCCCGGUUUAAGCGUGUAGGCUGGUUUUCCAGGCAAAUCCGGAAAACCAAGGCUGAGGCGUGAUGACGAGGCACUACGGUGCUGAAGCGACAAAUGCCCUGCUUCCAGGAAAAGCCUCUAAGCAUCAGGUAACAUCAAAUCGUACCCCAAACCGACACAGGUGGUCAGGUAGAGAAUACCAAGGCGCUUGAGAGAACUCGGGUGAAGGAACUAGGCAAAAUGGUGCCGUAACUUCGGGAGAAGGCACGCUGAUAUGUAGGUGAAGCGACUUGCUCGUGGAGCUGAAAUCAGUCGAAGAUACCAGCUGGCUGCAACUGUUUAUUAAAAACACAGCACUGUGCAAACACGAAAGUGGACGUAUACGGUGUGACGCCUGCCCGGUGCCGGAAGGUUAAUUGAUGGGGUUAGCGGCAACGCGAAGCUCUUGAUCGAAGCCCCGGUAAACGGCGGCCGUAACUAUAACGGUCCUAAGGUAGCGAAAUUCCUUGUCGGGUAAGUUCCGACCUGCACGAAUGGCGUAAUGAUGGCCAGGCUGUCUCCACCCGAGACUCAGUGAAAUUGAACUCGCUGUGAAGAUGCAGUGUACCCGCGGCAAGACGGAAAGACCCCGUGAACCUUUACUAUAGCUUGACACUGAACAUUGAGCCUUGAUGUGUAGGAUAGGUGGGAGGCUUUGAAGUGUGGACGCCAGUCUGCAUGGAGCCGACCUUGAAAUACCACCCUUUAAUGUUUGAUGUUCUAACGUUGGCCCGUAAUCCGGGUUGCGGACAGUGUCUGGUGGGUAGUUUGACUGGGGCGGUCUCCUCCUAAAGAGUAACGGAGGAGCACGAAGGUUGGCUAAUCCUGGUCGGACAUCAGGAGGUUAGUGCAAUGGCAUAAGCCAGCUUGACUGCGAGCGUGACGGCGCGAGCAGGUGCGAAAGCAGGUCAUAGUGAUCCGGUGGUUCUGAAUGGAAGGGCCAUCGCUCAACGGAUAAAAGGUACUCCGGGGAUAACAGGCUGAUACCGCCCAAGAGUUCAUAUCGACGGCGGUGUUUGGCACCUCGAUGUCGGCUCAUCACAUCCUGGGGCUGAAGUAGGUCCCAAGGGUAUGGCUGUUCGCCAUUUAAAGUGGUACGCGAGCUGGGUUUAGAACGUCGUGAGACAGUUCGGUCCCUAUCUGCCGUGGGCGCUGGAGAACUGAGGGGGGCUGCUCCUAGUACGAGAGGACCGGAGUGGACGCAUCACUGGUGUUCGGGUUGUCAUGCCAAUGGCACUGCCCGGUAGCUAAAUGCGGAAGAGAUAAGUGCUGAAAGCAUCUAAGCACGAAACUUGCCCCGAGAUGAGUUCUCCCU